This 406-nucleotide transfer-messenger RNA is filed under the name Patescibacteria group bacterium. It matches the Rfam family "transfer-messenger RNA". Rfam says of the family: Bacterial tmRNA, also known as 10Sa RNA or SsrA, is named for its dual tRNA and mRNA-like properties. Its role is to liberate the mRNA from a stalled ribosome. To accomplish this part of the tmRNA is used as a reading frame that ends in a translation stop signal. The record is from RNAcentral.
GGGGAUGAUCAGUCUCGACGGGGAAUGCCGGGAUGUCCUGCAAGCUGGGCGUGUCGUUGCGUCCAUAACACCCAACGAUAAACGACAGACGCCAACACUGUCACUCGCGUGAAAGAUGCGCUCGCUUCGGCGUUCCGCGUCCAAAACGCUGCUCCGGUCCUCGCCUAAGGCGAGCUUUCCGAGCCGAUCAACGUGCGCACCGCCUCUGUGCCGCGCUUGGUCGUCAACUUCUUGAGGCUUGAUGAUCGUUGUUGCCCACCAAUGAUCGUGACCAUGGCCCGGGCUUAACACGUGCUCAUUGUCGGCUCCUCGCCGCAUGUGUGACAUUCUUGAACCGACCAAGCUUGUGAAUGAAGGCUUUCUGUCAGAUCUUCGGACGGGGGUGCGAUUCCCCCCAUCUCCACCA